CCCCUGAAAGCCUACCACUCAUGCUACAAGACCCACCCUAGACCAUGUGGUACAGUUAUGACCUAUCAGGCCCCAGACUGUUCUAGCCCCCUCAGGCAUAGGCAGUGGGCGGGGUGUGACCACUCUAACAACCUGCCACCACCCUUGACCAAUUGGCAAGGGCUUCAGAGGCCUCAGACCUCCCCAGGAAUGGAGCCAAACCAACUGGAACAAGUAGAGGGGUGGGGCUUAGGCUGCAAGUACACCAAGUCUAUCUGCUUUCCCAAGCAAACCCUCUGUUUGUCUGAGACCAUGCUAAGGCAAGCAGGGGCAGAUAUGGAUUCUUACACAAUGCUUGAAGGCCCCUCACCACAACCCCAAGACUUGUUAGACGGCUGCAUAGAAAGAAUUACUGUAGAAAUAGUUUUGAGGAGGAGGGCAGUCCCCUAGCCCAAAGGCUCUUUGAGACACCUGACCCUGUUCAGGAAGCCCCAGUGAACAGGUAAAUGGAAGAGGCCCAGGCCCCCAAAGCAAAUGUUGAGAAUUUGGAAGAGAGUAUCCUUGUGCCAGAGCCUGCAUGGGAAGUAGAGGUCAUCACAGAAGAAGAGAGGCUGGUAAGAGACUUGAAGCAUGGUUGUGGGGGGCACUUAGGUUUUGAUAGUGGUGUGGGUUCAGUUCAUAGUGGGUAUGUGUUUGGAAGCUAAGGGCUGAUUAAACAGCAGCUAACUAAGGUUUAAUUUGAACUUCUUUGCAGUUAGAUGAAGCCUUUAUAAUGACUCAAGAAAACCUGCUCACCAGUACACCUGUAAAGUCAACACCAGAUGGAAGUGGCUGUUUUUGCAGAGAACAGAGACUGGAUGAGGAUGAAGAGUUUAGAAGACAAUCAGGCAUUGAUUCAUCAGGUCCUGUUUCAUGUCAAGAAUGUAAAAUCUUCAUCAAGUCUCUUGUGCACAUUUCUUUUUGUGGCAUAAUGAAAUACUGUUUGAGGAUGAGACUAUUUGAAAAGUGUUGGGGUUGUGUUCAUGAUCGGGGAGUCAAGGUGCUCAUGAUUGUGUUACCUGGUUAGAUGAACACAUAAAUGAAACAAUUCAGGAACUGCCAGGAAGUAUGUCUUGAGAGCAUUUUCAAUGCUGUUAUAGCUAUUGGCUUUGCCAGGAACAUUCUCAGAAUUACUGAGAAACAUUUACUUCAGGCUAGUGAGCUUCCAAACACUGUGUAUUCUGCAGAAGAUCUUAAUGCUGCUCUUUAUGAUUUGAUCACUGAGGAAGAUAAACCUCUCAUACCCUAUAUUGAAUGCUUAAUUGGUACUAGAAAUUAUAAAAUGCUACGUAAGAGAAGAGUUUAGCAAAAGCAGUUUAAAACAAGUUUUACAACUUUUACUGAUUUUUUGUGCGGGAGGGGUAGUAAAGAAGUAAAGCACAUCAACAGUUUUCAGCUGCCUAAAUUAGCAUUUGCUUUAGUGUCUUGGAUGUCUAAGCACAUACAUAUGGGGACUUUUUUGUAAAGACAAAGCCAAUGAGACUUAAUGGUUACUAGAAUUUGUAAAAAACCCUUCUUAGGAGAAGGGUUAACAAAAUAAACCAGUAAAUAUUGUAAAGGCUUUUCAUGGAAAUAAAGACUGAUUUUAAAAA
This is a long non-coding RNA of Gavialis gangeticus (Gharial), 1610 nucleotides long. RefSeq lists it as uncharacterized. The transcript has 2 exons. NCBI's taxonomy places the organism in Eukaryota, Metazoa, Chordata, Crocodylia, Gavialidae. The record is from RefSeq and is a predicted model, not a curated record.